RNAcentral lists this ribosomal RNA (302 nucleotides) under uncultured bacterium. Its description in RNAcentral is "partial 16S ribosomal RNA". It matches the Rfam family "Bacterial small subunit ribosomal RNA", at positions 508 to 807 of the family's 1533-position model. The record is from RNAcentral.
GCAGUAGCCGCGGGAAUACGGAGGGUGCAAGCGUUAAUCGGAAUUACUGGGCGUAAAGCGCACGCAGGCGGUCUGACAAGUCAGAUGUGAAAUCCCCGGGCUUAACCUGGGAACUGCAUUUGAAACUGUCAGGCUGGAGUCUUGUAGAGGGGGGUGGAAUUCCAGGUGUAGCGGUGAAAUGCGUAGAGAUCUGGAGGAAUACCGGUGGCGAAGGCGGCCCCCUGGACAAAGACUGACGCUCAGGUGCGAAAGCGUGGGGAGCAAACAGGAUUAGAUACCUCUGUAGUCCCUGUCUCUUAUAC